Molecule: long non-coding RNA, 2514 nt
Filed under: Lathyrus oleraceus (garden pea)
Lineage: Eukaryota; Viridiplantae; Streptophyta; Magnoliopsida; Fabales; Fabaceae
Description: Pisum sativum (pea) long non-coding RNA (PSAT_LNC009766)
Source: RNAcentral
CUGUAUAGUGUUAAUCUCUCCAUUAUGACCAAGAAGUCUCAUUGGUUGUGCAAGAGGCCAUCUGGGAGUAGUAUUUGUGCUAUACCUUCGAUGAUAAAUGGCAAAGGGGGAUUUAUAUAGAUCAUUUUGAAGGUCAGUAUAAAAUAACCCCAGAGCUUCUGAGCGAAGCAUCCCCUUGUAAACUAUUGUUCGAUUGGAUAAAGAACAGAAAUAAAGCUCAUUUCCCCAACUUUCCGAGCUUACUUCUUUUUCAAUCAGCUUCCGGCAGAUGUAUAGUUCUCGUUCAAUGUCUUCAAUAUUUUCUUCCUUCGCAAUCUUAACAAAAACCUGCUGUAUAUUGGGCAUGGUCUCCUUUGCAUUAUAACCUACAACGGAAGUAUUUACAGGAACUGGCCUCCACCCAAGCACCUCAAGACCUUCUUGCUGAAAAAUAUUUACAAUAACUAAAGAAAAAACGAAAAUAACAUAUCAGAACACAAUUUGUUGUGUUAAAUUGAAUAUUCACUUUGAUGCAUUUAAAAGAGUGCAGUACACAAGCUAUGACUGCAGCAACAAAGGUUUGCAAACUGAAUCAACGAGAGAUGUAGAAAAACUCCCUUAGCCAAAUGAGUGAAUGUGUGCAUCUGAGAGUGUGGGUGUGGGUAGAUAGAGAGAGAGAACAUCGAACAGCAAUUAAGUUGUUCACAAACAUAUAAACAUGCUGAUCUUAGUAAAACCAUAUAAGACAGACAUCAUGCAUGCAUAGAUAAAUCAGGCCUUUCAAAAUAAGAACAAUUAUUACCUUUCUUGGCCUUAUUCAUAAGUUCUACAUCUUUGGGUAGGAAAACCAUUCCAACGCCAGUGUGCAACUUAUCAAAGGAUGGAAUCCCUUGCUUGUUUGCCCAAUUGUCAAAUAGAUCCCAUGGAACUGCAGUCAUAACCCCAGAACCAUCACCAGAAUCAUUAUCUGCACCACAGCCCCCGCGAUGUUCCAUACAGCUUAAAGCAUUUAAAGCAUCCUUGAGAAUCUUAUAUGAUGCUUUAUUUUCCAAAUUCGCAAUGAAUCCAACACCGCAGGCCCCUCUUUCUGAUAGUAUAUCCUCCAAAUUCGCAACCUGACCAACAAACGCAGCUAGAAUCAUUAAACAUUUUGUCAUGCAAAUUACAAACCACGUGGGUUUCUAGUUGUCACUCAACAGCUAUAAUUUUUUAAAUACUAGUGAAUAGAGCCUUGGAGCCCAGGUCUUGAGAUUCCAAGGACAGCAGCUACUUAGGAAGGGAGACACUAUGUCCCCUUUCUUGCUCACCUAGAUGAUUGUUGUUCUUAAUUGUUUACUCAAACAAGAUGCUGACCUCUCAGAGCUCUAGUUUUGGGAUACUGUUCUAUUCUCAACAAACACACAUUUGAAAUGACCUCCUGGUUAAAAGCUAAUCUAGCAAAGUUAGUCGUUUGGCACUUAGGGGAGCUUGUAUAAUAAAAUUCAAUUCCCAUACAUUGCUGCCUUGUUUCCAAGUUUCUCGGAGUCCUCCAAGAUUUUACAGAACAAUCUUUCUUUUAUUACAACAAAAACAAUCUGCAGCCACAAUUGUGACUACUGCAUCAAGUUUCUUUUAUAACCAAGUUUCUCGGAGUCCUCCAAGAUUUUUCGCAAUAUCACGAAUAGCAAAGCUACCACAAUUUAAAAGCAUAGAAUCCAAGGAUCUUGUAUCGUUUCAGUUUACAUAGUCUAUAAAUUCUCCCACAACCAUUUCGUCCUCGUUCAAAUUUGGAUUUUCACUUCAAAAAAAAACUCUAGUCAGCUCAAUUCUCUAUAAAUUAGAAAAUAUUCAUGUCCUCGUACGAUUUUUCAAUGAUGUUUUAAAGCAAUUUUUCUGUAGAAAACGCUGUUUUAUGCCAAGACUUAAGCAAAGUCUUGAAGUUGACUUGAUGAAGUAUCGUCUAAAACCAAAUCCACGCCUUCAAUUCAAUCAAACGAAACAUUUCGAAAACACAAUAAUCAAAGAACCAAAAAAAUCGUCAUGCAAAAAUAGCAACGGAUGAUGAACACGGACCUGUGGUUUUAAAUCGGAAGUUGAAGAAGAAGGAGGAGGAGGAGCGGGAUUGAGCUGCUUAUCAAGUUCAAGAACAGAUUUGACGGGGCUACGACGGAGGCUAGCUGGAGAAACAAACGGCGUCAAUCUGCGAUUGUACCUCUUUGAUUUGCGGCGGAAAGGCGCAAAGUCAACGAGCAACUGACGGUUACCGAUCGGAGUGAAUGUAUCGGAGAGACGCAACACUUGAGAAACCGACGACACCGUGUGCAGCGCCAUCGCGAGAGUGAGAGAGAAAGUGUGUGGUAAGUGUUUGAAUAAAUGAUUGUGUGAGUGAGAAUGAAGUAAUGAAGAUAAAAAGAAAAAGAGAGAGAGGUCACAAAAUGCUUAGCUCACACACACCACCAACUUCUCAUUCCUUUCCAUCUUGGUUUGUUAAAUGCUAAAUGAGCACACUCUCUAUCACUGAGUUUUUUUUCUCUGUGGUGUGGUCUACGCUAACAC